GGAGGGUGCAAGCAUUAAUCGGAAUUAUUGGGCGUAAAGAGCGCGUAGGUAGUAUAGCAAGUCAGAGAUGAAAAAUCGAGACUCAAUCUCGAUCCUGUCUUUGAAACUGUUAAACUAGAGGAAAUUCGGGGGAAAUAGAAUUUCACAUGUAGCGGUGAAAUGCGUAGAUAUGUGAAGGAAUACCGGUGGCGAAAGCGGUUUUCCAGGAUUUUCCUAACGCUGAGGCGCGAAAGCAAGGGUAGCAAACAGGGAUUAGAUACCCUGGUAGUCCUUGCCGUAAACGAUGUAUACUUGAUGUAUAGGGUCUCAACCCCCCCCCUGUGUGUCGAAGCUAACGUGAUAAGUAUACCGCCUGAGGAGUACACUCGCAAGUGUG
RNAcentral lists this ribosomal RNA (376 nucleotides) under uncultured organism. Its description in RNAcentral is "partial 16S ribosomal RNA". It matches the Rfam family "Bacterial small subunit ribosomal RNA", at positions 527 to 896 of the family's 1533-position model. The record is from RNAcentral.